Long non-coding RNA from Prionailurus viverrinus (fishing cat), 2770 nucleotides. RefSeq lists it as uncharacterized. NCBI's taxonomy places the organism in Eukaryota, Metazoa, Chordata, Mammalia, Carnivora, Felidae. The transcript has 4 exons. The record is from RefSeq and is a predicted model, not a curated record.
CUGGUGCAUAUUUUACACUUACAGCACAUCUCCGUUCAGACUAGCCACAUUUCAAGUGCUCAAUAAUACCCGCAUGUGGCUGGUAGCUGCCAUAUUGGACAGAGCGGGUACAGGAGUUUGAUGGUACAGAGCGGACUGUACCUGGGGAAGGUCAGUGACCAGUUAAGGUGGCAUCAUCCUGGCAGAUCUGAUGCAUCUAGUUGUCUGAUUAGAUCUUUACAGACCUAGUAUGUCAGCACAUGCAGAGCACAACGGUCUUAGAGGAAACUCACAUUAACCAAGCUCACAGUAACUGAUAGUUGUUAAAAAUGUUAGUACUUUAAUUUACAAUGAGAAAUGUAACUAUCAAUCAUUCUCUCCCUUUAGGCAAAUCUUCUGGGGAAGUCCAUUUAUGAUCAGCCGGUUACUUGGUGAGCGUGGAUUCUGAGCAAGGGAAGCAAGUUGCCUCAUGCAUCCAUCUCCCUAUGGGGACUCACCUGCUGAUUUUCAUGUUUGUGGACCAGGGUACGCUCUUCCCCCGGAUGAUUGUAGAGAUUCUCUGCCAGUAGUUGCCUCUCCACAUCAGCUUCUGAUGGGCACAUCCAGUAAAUCUGUCAGUACCUUCAGCCUUUGUCUCAGUUGAACCUGCCUGGGUUCCAUCUGCCGGUGUACGAUUGCUUGCUUCUGCUCUGAUCCAUUUCUUAUUGUUUGAUAGUCAAAGGAUUAUCUUAUUUCCUUUCUUGGGGGAGACACCUCAAUGUUGCUCCCGUCUCCUGCCUACACGUAGAAUAAACCCACUGACAGAUUAUGUUUUGUUACAUAUAUGUGGAAGUCACCAUCUAUAGCCCUGCUCCUUAAAUAUAACCUAUAUUCCUUGAACAUUGGUUUUCUAGAAAAAUUUGAGGAAACAGUUCAGAAAUUUAGAAGAUUACAUUUCAAAUAAGUAAAUGUUAUGGAACAGAAAAAUUCACAUGAACUUUUAAAACAGGAGACUUCAAAGAAUUGUCGAGCAUGUCGCAGCCCUGUGGGGCUCUACCCAACACUUCAGUAGUAGGGGGGCAUCUCCUCUGCUCUGGAGGUAAAGGUCCUUGGAGAGAAAACUUUGGCAAGCCUUAGCUUAAUGAAAAACCAAUCUGGUACCUGGUCAAUAUUUCUAUUAUGUAAAUGUGAUGGUUUAUAAUGAUCCUCUUUGUAUAAAAGAAGCAAAUAUUUUAUGUCCUUUGCAAACCUGGAAAAUAUAUUUGUACCUGAGGUACAGGUUAGAGGUGCUAGUAAUUCUUUGAAGAUUCCUAUAACAGUUUCUUUUCCAAAAUGCUUUCUUGGCUCUUAAAACUUUGAGUUUUCUUAAAACUCUAACUUUCACAUCAGGGUUUACAGUGUUUUCAUGUGUACUUUUUUUAAUGUAUAAAUAUUUUGUUUAAAUCCUCUCCUGAUCAGUGUCUCCUGCUUGAGAAAAUAAACAGUGACCGACAGCUACUAUGCAUUCACUAAUGUUUUUAAAUAAAUGUGCAUACUACUCACCAUGGCAUCAGCACACAUCUGAAACAUACAGUUGUACAGUUAUGUGCAAGACUUAGUCUGAGCCAUUCCUUGCUCGCUACGGAUCUGCAGACAACCUGUGUCUUUGGAAGGCCCCCAAGGAUCCAUGGUCUUUUCCUCGGAGGUGAGCUGACAGGGGGCGCACAGCAGGUCUCCUCCAACUUCUAGGCUCUUGUGCACAGGGCUAGCUUCAAUUGGGCCAUCGAUGUUUGAGCAAACUAAUUCGGUAUUAAUGUGUUUUCUCUUUAGCCAUCAAUCUAUAACAUUGAGAAAUGAUAUUGAAACUAAUCUGUCUGUGCUGAAUCAUGUGGUCAGCACCAUCUGAGUUCCUGUUGUGUGCAGAGUACUGCACUGGAUAUAAUAAAGGUAGAUUGCUUAUCUCCAUUUUGUUUUGCCUAUUUCUAUAAAUUGGGCAGAACAGCUUCCUCUCCCAGCCUUGAAGGAAUGAGUGGCCCCGUGUAGGAAUGCCUGCAUAGACCGCACAUGCUUGACAACUUUGGAUGAUUUUAUCCCCCAAGAAGAAACUUUUAAUUUUGGAGAAGUGGUUUCCUCGGGUUGUCGUCUUCACCAAUGAGACACAGACUCGGGAAUUUAAUACAUCAAGACGACAGGCUUCUUGUACGGAAGGGCUUGUGACUGGAGACACAACAGGAACUACAGUUUUCCUGCUCUACCCCAAGCCUGUGCAAGUAGGUAUACAGGAGGACAUCCAGCAGCAGUCUGCUGGAAACUACAGUGACCUCACGUAAAAUGUAUGCAGCAUGAUGACUUACGUACACACUUGGAAGUAAUUACUACAAUCAAGUUAAUGAGCGUAUCCCAGUUUCCCUCACAGUUUCACGCGGUCAUGUCUGAGUUCUGGUGAACAAGAUGUCGGCAGAUGUUGAUAAGCCACCUAGGAAAGCUGUUUACAAGGAGAGGACUCCAGGAGAAAGUCCUUUCAUCUGUAGCUCCACCCACUCGCUCCUCCUGAGCCUUGAGUACAAGGUGAUGGCUGGACUUAAGAGUCACAGACAACCAAAAGCUAACCUGAAUGCAGAAGUCGAUUCUAAUGACGGCAGGGAGCCUGGCUGGGUCCCUGUGGACACUGUGGAGCCACUGUCAGCUUCAGACUAUCUACUAUGGAUGGGUUUGAUUUGAGAGAAAUAAACCUCCAUCCUCUAGAAGUCACCAUUUUGGGGGGCAUCUCUGUUAAAUGUAGUCGAACCUAAUCCUGUUAUAGAACCAUCAUUAAACUCCAUUUUAUCUUCUA